Long non-coding RNA from Suricata suricatta (meerkat), 601 nucleotides. RefSeq lists it as uncharacterized. NCBI's taxonomy places the organism in Eukaryota, Metazoa, Chordata, Mammalia, Carnivora, Herpestidae. The record is from RefSeq and is a predicted model, not a curated record. The transcript is spliced from 4 exons.
UGCCGGCACCGGAUGGAGAGUCCCGAGAAGGCUUAAUUUGCAGGAAGACAUUCUCAUCAGAUCUCGUCUCCGGCAGCCGAGCGCUGCUGCCGGGGGUCGGGCCGGGCUCCUCCCAGGACCCCUCCCCUGGGCUCUGGCUGGACGAGAAACCGAGAUGGUGGCAGCAGAAACUGGAGCCCCGGCGCCGGAGCGGCCGCGAGGGGCCGGGGCCUUCGAGGGCUUCGCUGCUUCUUGCCAAGUCUAUAUAGCUCAGCUGAAAGCCCAUUAGCUGAAGAAAGCAUCGUUUGUGAAGACCUAAAGAAGAGCUCAAGAAUGAGUAGCAAAUUUAGGGCAGCUCUGAGGAAGAACAUGAUGCAGUGAAUGAAUGCUCUCAAGACCUAGGCAGGAACAAAGGAGAAUUGCUCAUGGCCCUUGCCCCAGAAGAGCACAUGGUCCAGUAAAAUAACUUCAGAAAAGGAAAGGCCUGGUGAGAACACAGCAAGGAGAUGGUCAUCUGAAACCCAAAGAGAGCUCUCACCACGCCUGGACCCUGCCAGCAACGUGACCUCCUGGACUCUGGUCUCCAGAACUGUAAGAAAUAAAUUUCAGUUGUUCAAGCCAA